This 1423-nucleotide ribosomal RNA is filed under the name Escherichia coli. RNAcentral describes it as "partial 23S ribosomal RNA". It matches the Rfam family "Bacterial large subunit ribosomal RNA", at positions 821 to 2226 of the family's 2925-position model. Lineage: Bacteria; Pseudomonadati; Pseudomonadota; Gammaproteobacteria; Enterobacterales; Enterobacteriaceae. The record is from RNAcentral.
GUGAAAGGCCAAUCAAACCGGGAGAUAGCUGGUUCUCCCCGAAAGCUAUUUAGGUAGCGCCUCGAGAAUUCAUCUCCGGGGGUAGAGCACUGUUUCGGCAAGGGGGUCAUCCCGACUUACCAACCCGAUGCAAACUGCGAAUACCGGAGAAUGUUAUCACGGGAGACACACGGCGGGUGCUAACGUCCGUCGUGAAGAGGGAAACAACCCAGACCGCCAGCUAAGGUCCCAAAGUCAUGGUUAAGUGGGAAACGAUGUGGGAAGGCCCAGACAGCCAGGAUGUUGGCUUAGAAGCAGCCAUCAUUUAAAGAAAGCGUAAUAGCUCACUGGUCGAGUCGGCCUGCGCGGAAGAUGUAACGGGGCUAAACCAUGCACCGAAGCUGCGGCAGCGACGCUUAUGCGUUGUUGGGUAGGGGAGCGUUCUGUAAGCCUGUGAAGGUGUGCUGUGAGGCAUGCUGGAGGUAUCAGAAGUGCGAAUGCUGACAUAAGUAACGAUAAAGCGGGUGAAAAGCCCGCUCGCCGGAAGACCAAGGGUUCCUGUCCAACGUUAAUCGGGGCAGGGUGAGUCGACCCCUAAGGCGAGGCCGAAAGGCGUAGUCGAUGGGAAACAGGUUAAUAUUCCUGUACUUGGUGUUACUGCGAAGGGGGGACGGAGAAGGCUAUGUUGGCCGGGCGACGGUUGUCCCGGUUUAAGCGUGUAGGCUGGUUUUCCAGGCAAAUCCGGAAAAUCAAGGCUGAGGCGUGAUGACGAGGCACUACGGUGCUGAAGCAACAAAUGCCCUGCUUCCAGGAAAAGCCUCUAAGCAUCAGGUAACAUCAAAUCGUACCCCAAACCGACACAGGUGGUCAGGUAGAGAAUACCAAGGCGCUUGAGAGAACUCGGGUGAAGGAACUAGGCAAAAUGGUGCCGUAACUUCGGGAGAAGGCACGCUGAUAUGUAGGUGAAGCGACUUGCUCGUGGAGCUGAAAUCAGUCGAAGAUACCAGCUGGCUGCAACUGUUUAUUAAAAACACAGCACUGUGCAAACACGAAAGUGGACGUAUACGGUGUGACGCCUGCCCGGUGCCGGAAGGUUAAUUGAUGGGGUUAGCGCAAGCGAAGCUCUUGAUCGAAGCCCCGGUAAACGGCGGCCGUAACUAUAACGGUCCUAAGGUAGCGAAAUUCCUUGUCGGGUAAGUUCCGACCUGCACGAAUGGCGUAAUGAUGGCCAGGCUGUCUCCACCCGAGACUCAGUGAAAUUGAACUCGCUGUGAAGAUGCAGUGUACCCGCGGCAAGACGGAAAGACCCCGUGAACCUUUACUAUAGCUUGACACUGAACAUUGAGCCUUGAUGUGUAGGAUAGGUGGGAGGCUUGGAAGUGUGGACGCCAGUCUGCAUGGAGCCGACCUUGAAAUACCACCCUUUAAUGUUUGAUGUUCUAAC